Molecule: ribosomal RNA, 325 nt
Filed under: uncultured eukaryote
Lineage: Eukaryota
Description: partial 18S ribosomal RNA
Rfam family: Eukaryotic small subunit ribosomal RNA
Source: RNAcentral
CCCUUAGAUGUCCUGGGCCGCACGCGCGUUACACUGAUGCAUUCAACGAGCUUAUAACCUUGGCCGAGAGGCCUGGGCAAUCUUGUUAACGUGCAUCGUGAUAGGGAUAGAUUAUUGAAAUUAUUAAUCUUGAACGAGGAAUUCCUAGUAAACGCAGAUCAUCAAUCUGCAUUGAUUACGUCCCUGCCCUUUGUACACACCGCCCGUCGCACCUACCGAUUGGAUGGUCCGGUGAAGAUUCCGGAUAGGACUUUUUUGAUUUAUUUCAAUUUUGUCUUAAAAGCUAUCUAAACCUCAACAUUUAGAGGAAGGUGAAGUCGUAACA